RNAcentral lists this ribosomal RNA (427 nucleotides) under uncultured prokaryote. RNAcentral describes it as "bacterial SSU rRNA". It matches the Rfam family "Bacterial small subunit ribosomal RNA", at positions 355 to 774 of the family's 1533-position model. The record is from RNAcentral.
CUAAGAAUAUUCCGCAAUGGACGAAAGUCUGACGGAGCGACGCCGCGUGGAUGAUGAAGGCCGAAAGGUUGUAAAGUCCUUUUGCUGGGGAAGAAUAAGCGUGGGAGGGAAUGCCCGCGUGAUGACAUGAACCGGCGAAUAAGCCCCGGCUAACUACGUGCCAGCAGCCGCGUUAACACGUAGGGGGCCAGCGUUGUUCGGAAUUACUGGGCGUAAAGGGCAUGUAGGCGGCCUGGUAAGCGUGGCGUGAAAGUCAACGGCUUAACCGUGGGAUUGCGUUGAGAACUGAGAGGCUUGAGUGACGGAGAGGGAGCUAGAAUUCCUGGUGUAGGGGUGGAAUCUGUAGAUAUCAGGAAGAAUACCAAUGGCGAAGGCAAGCUCCUGGCCGAUGACUGACGCUGAGGUGCGAAAGUGUGGGGAUCAAACA